GCCAGCAUGGCAUAGUGGUUUGAGUGCUGGACUAGGACUCUGGAUACCAGGGUUCUAUUCCCAGCUCGGCCA
Molecule: transfer RNA, 72 nt
Filed under: Phrynosoma platyrhinos (Desert horned lizard)
Lineage: Eukaryota; Metazoa; Chordata; Lepidosauria; Squamata; Phrynosomatidae
Description: tRNA-OTHER
Source: RNAcentral